UACGUAGGGUGCAAGCGUUGUCCGGAAUUAUUGGGCGUAAAGAGCUCGUAGGCGGCUUGUCGCGUCGGCUGUGAAAACCUGGGGGCUCAACCCCGGGCCUGCAGCCGAUACGGGCAAGCUAGAAUUCGGUAGGGGAGACUGGAAUUCCUGGUGUAGCGGUGAAAUGCGCAGAUAUCAGGAGGAACACCGGUGGCGAAGGCGGGUCUCUGGGCCGAUAUUGACGCUGAGGAGCGAAAGCGUGGGGAGCGAACAGG
Molecule: ribosomal RNA, 254 nt
Filed under: uncultured bacterium
Lineage: Bacteria
Description: partial 16S ribosomal RNA
Rfam family: Bacterial small subunit ribosomal RNA
Source: RNAcentral